UUUUGUGGAUAAUUGCGCAUUAGCUUGACUAAUGUGAGGAAAGUCCAUGCUCACACAAGCUGAGAUGCAUGUAGUGUUCGUGCGUAGCGAAAAAAUAAGCUACGGCUCCUCUCUUUAGAGGAAGACGGCAGGUAAACGAACUAAGGCCAAUUUGGCUAGGUUCCAGUAGCCUUGAAAGUGCCACAGAGACGAUAUAGUAUGGAAACAUGCUAGUGGAACGGGUAAACCCCUCGAGUGAGCAACUCAAACAACAGGUAGAGGCGUUCUUUCAACAAAAAUCAAUGGGGAAAGAAGUAGAUUUACAGAUAGAUAAUUAUCUCGGAGUAUUUUCCUAAUGAAUACUCUAGACAGAACAUGGCUUACAGCA
Molecule: RNase P RNA, 367 nt
Filed under: Alloiococcus otitis ATCC 51267
Lineage: Bacteria; Bacillati; Bacillota; Bacilli; Lactobacillales; Carnobacteriaceae
Description: Bacterial RNase P class B
Rfam family: Bacterial RNase P class B
About the family: Ribonuclease P (RNase P) is a ubiquitous endoribonuclease, found in archaea, bacteria and eukarya as well as chloroplasts and mitochondria. Its best characterised activity is the generation of mature 5'-ends of tRNAs by cleaving the 5'-leader elements of precursor-tRNAs.
Source: Rfam by way of RNAcentral